RNAcentral lists this ribosomal RNA (449 nucleotides) under soil bacterium LT-P2-31. RNAcentral describes it as "bacterial SSU rRNA". It matches the Rfam family "Bacterial small subunit ribosomal RNA", at positions 355 to 816 of the family's 1533-position model. The record is from RNAcentral.
UGGGGAAUAUUGCACAAUGGGCGAAAGCCUGAUGCAGCGACGCCGCGUGAGGGAUGACGGCCUUCGGGUUGUAAACCUCUUUCAGCAGGGAAGAAGCGAAAGUGACGGUACCUGCAGAAGAAGCGCCGGCUAACUACGUGCCAGCAGCCGCGGUAAUACGUAGGGCGCAAGCGUUGUCCGGAAUUAUUGGGCGUAAAGAGCUCGUAGGCGGCUUGUCACGUCGGGUGUGAAAGCCCGGGGCUUAACCCCGGGUCUGCAUUCGAUACGGGCUAGCUAGAGUGUGGUAGGGGAGAUCGGAAUUCCUGGUGUAGCGGUGAAAUGCGCAGAUAUCAGGAGGAACACCGGUGGCGAAGGCGGAUCUCUGGGCCAUUACUGACGCUGAGGAGCGAAAGCGUGGGGAGCGAACAGGAUUAGAUACCCUGGUAGUCCACGCCGUAAACGGUGGGAAC